UAAAUGUAACUUGCCCAUAAAAAUGUGUUAAUUUUUUUUUUUUUUAUUGUAACAUAUUUUAAAAUGUAAUUUAGUCCUCUGAUUGCAAGGUUGAAAUUUUAUUCUGAUAUGCUGAAUUAGUGCUCAAGAAACAUUUCAGUUACAUUAAAGUUGUGCUGCUUUAAUUUAGCUUACUACAUUUUUUCAGGAUUCAUUGAUAUAGAAAGUUUUCAAAGCAACAUUAUUAAUUUGAAAUAGAAACCUUUUGUUACAUUAUAGAUGUCAUUACUGUCAGUUUUUAAUCAAUUGAAUGUGUCCUUGCUAAAUAAAAGAAGUCGUAUGUACAGUAUGUAGUGUUUAUUUGAACAAAUAUAAUACAGUUCAUCAAAACUGAUCACACACUAAUACUCAUUCAUGUAAUUUGAGUGAAACUGGCAGGCUUUGUCUAUUUUGCUUUUGGUAUUACAUUUGUUUACUUAGUCUAUUAUAAUAUACUCUUAUAGUCCUUAGUUUUUUUUCUUUUAGAGCUGUUUGAUCUUUAAUGGAGGAUGCGGUCAAUGGAAAUGCACUUAGAUCCUCUUGUCUCCCCCAGAAUUUACUGCAUCUUACUCUUUAAAACACAGAUUUGUUGCUGUGGUUAUUGAGGAGGUAGAAGUGAAAGCCCUGAAGUACAGUAAUUCUCUCUUCUAAAGAAAGGAUUUUCUGCUGUCACAAAUUUUAAACUGUGGUUGUGAAAUUUCUAUUGGUUUUGUCAUUUAUUGUGCUACUACAGUAUAGCAUGAUUGAUUCAGUUAUCAAAAAAGAGGUUCUUCAGGGUGGUCUUAUAAACUGUUUUACCCCUUUUAAAUUGCAAUUGUGUUUAAAAAACUAUCUGACAUUUGUGGAAAAGGCUCAAGAGACAUCCUGUACAAAUUACUUUUCAGGUCACUGGAGAGUCUCAGACUCUAAUAUUUAAGAAACUUGUGCUGCCACAAAGAGGAUAUGUGUGAGGUUUUGCAGUGUGUGUUCAACUGAGGAUUGUUUUUUAAAAGAGUUUUGCUGCAUUAAAGCACCAAAGAAAAAAUACAUUUGCAAACUUGCACAACCUCAAAUUAGCAUUAAAAUGCAUUUGUGACUUGGACAACAUAUAAAUAGUAAUCUAUUAAAACAUGUUCAUUUUAUAUCAUUUGGAUGUUUCGCUUGUCUCAGUGUUUACAGAAGCAUUAUUUGAAGAAUAAGGUUCCUGUAUCCAUCUUUGCCAUAUUUACAAUGGACCUCACAGAUGGCCGUGCUCCCAGAUUUGAAAAGGUUUCUUUGGAAACCAAAUACAACAUUACGGUUGGAACCCAAACUGCUUUAAAGCCAAUGCUAUUAGAUGGCUUACACAAACUGACCCCAGAGCAGGUCUGAAGAUGAGCUGACUGGGGUUUUCUGCUACAGGAGGACACUGAAGACAUUCUUUUUUUUUAACUUUUUUUUUCUGUGUGUGAGUAAAUAGAUGGACAGGAUAGUGAGGACCACUGAAGCACUGGUCAUAUAAAUGAUGGAUUAUGAUGCUUGGACAGAGUUGAAUAUUUAAGAUGGUCCUUUUCUUUUUCUUUUUCCUCACUGCACGAAAGCAUGUGAAUGAAGUGGAGCACCAAGCAAUUUUGCCUCCCCUCCCAAUGUGUUGUGUAAUCUGUCCACUCUGGGUUUUCCAUUUCCUGUUCCUUCACUGGUAAAAAAAAAAAAUCCCUCUCAAAGUUCACUCCGUAAUAAAAUUUACAUCCAGUUACGGCUGUGUUGAAAAGUUCUAUAUAUAGAGAUACAAAUUUUGAAGUCAGUAAGUUUGUUUUUCUUUAAAGAAAUCAAUGCUGUUAAUGCUACUCAGCAAACGGCACAUUAAAUAGAUGAUAAAAGUGACAGUAAAAUUUUGUACAUGUUUACAGAAGAUUUCUAUUUUAAAUAAAUUAGCAUAGUUUACACAGAAAUAUUAAGAAUCUACAUUGAAGAUAAUAAGAAAUGUUUCAGCAUAUUAGAAUGAUUUCUGAGGGAUCAUGUGACACUGAAGACUGGAGU
Cyprinus carpio carpio is the source of this 2016-nucleotide long non-coding RNA. NCBI's taxonomy places the organism in Eukaryota, Metazoa, Chordata, Actinopteri, Cypriniformes, Cyprinidae. The record is from Ensembl.